CCCCAGAUGUUGCUGAACUACAACUCCUAUGAUUCCCUGGCUAUCUUUUUAAUUGAAAGAAGCAUGGGAGUUGUAAUUCAGCAACAUCUGGGG
This 93-nucleotide microRNA precursor is filed under the name Pelobates cultripes (western spadefoot toad). The record is from RNAcentral. Lineage: Eukaryota; Metazoa; Chordata; Amphibia; Anura; Pelobatidae.